This 512-nucleotide ribosomal RNA is filed under the name uncultured bacterium. RNAcentral's name for it is "partial 16S ribosomal RNA". It matches the Rfam family "Bacterial small subunit ribosomal RNA", at positions 28 to 523 of the family's 1533-position model. The record is from RNAcentral.
GACGAACGCUGGCGGCGUGCCUAAUACAUGCAAGUCGAGCGAAUCAACAGGAGCUUGCUCCUGUUGAUUAGCGGCGGACGGGUGAGUAACACGUGGGAAACCUGCCUGUAAGACUGGGAUAACACCGGGAAACCGGUGCUAAUACCGGAUAAUCCUUUCCCUCUCAUGAGAGAAAGUUGAAAGUCGGUUUCGGCUGACACUUACAGAUGGGCCCGCGGCGCAUUAGCUAGUUGGUGAGGUAACGGCUCACCAAGGCGACGAUGCGUAGCCGACCUGAGAGGGUGAUCGGCCACACUGGGACUGAGACACGGCCCAGACUCCUACGGGAGGCAGCAGUAGGGAAUCUUCCACAAUGGACGAAAGUCUGAUGGAGCAACGCCGCGUGAGCGAUGAAGGCCUUCGGGUCGUAAAGCUCUGUUGCUAGGGAAGAACAAGUACCGGAGUAACUGCCGGUACCUUGACGGUACCUAACCAGAAAGCCACGGCUAACUACGUGCCAGCCGCCGCCGUAA